Molecule: ribosomal RNA, 2897 nt
Filed under: human gut metagenome
Description: bacterial LSU rRNA
Rfam family: Bacterial large subunit ribosomal RNA
Source: RNAcentral
UUAAGCGACUAAGCGUACACGGUGGAUGCCCUGGCAGUCAGAGGCGAUGAAGGACGUGCUAAUCUGCGAAAAGCGUCGGUAAGGUGAUAUGAACCGUUAUAACCGGCGAUGUCCGAAUGGGGAAACCCAGUGCAAUUCGUUGCACUAUCGUUAACUGAAUACAUAGGUUAACGAGGCGAACCGGGGGAACUGAAACAUCUAAGUACCCCGAGGAAAAGAAAUCAACCGAGAUUCCCCCAGUAGCGGCGAGCGAACGGGGAGCAGCCCAGAGUCUGAAUCAGCUUGUGUGUUAGUGGAACGGUCUGGAAAGUCCGACGGUACAGGGUGAUAGUCCCGUACACCAAAAUGCACAGGCUGUGAACUCGAAGAGUAGGGCGGGACACGUGGUAUCCUGUCUGAAUAUGGGGGGACCAUCCUCCAAGGCUAAAUACUCCUGACUGACCGAUAGUGAACCAGUACCGUGAGGGAAAGGCGAAAAGAACCCCGGCGAGGGGAGUGAAAAAGAACCUGAAACCGUGUACGUACAAGCAGUGGGAGCACCUUCGGGUGUGACUGCGUACCUUUUGUAUAAUGGGUCAGCGACUUAUAUUCUGUAGCAAGGUUAACCGUAUAGGGGAGCCGAAGGGAAACCGAGUCUUAACUGGGCGUUAAGUUGCAGGGUAUAGACCCGAAACCCGGUGAUCUAGCCAUGGGCAGGUUGAAGGUUGGGUAACACUAACUGGAGGACCGAACCGACUAAUGUUGAAAAAUUAGCGGAUGACUUGUGGCUGGGGGUGAAAGGCCAAUCAAACCGGGAGAUAGCUGGUUCUCCCCGAAAGCUAUUUAGGUAGCGCCUCGUGAAUUCAUCUUCGGGGGUAGAGCACUGUUUCGGCUAGGGGGUCAUCCCGACUUACCAACCCGAUGCAAACUACGAAUACCGAAGAAUGUUAUCACGGGAGACACACGGCGGGUGCUAACGUCCGUCGUGAAGAGGGAAACAACCCAGACCGCCAGCUAAGGUCCCAAAGUCAUGGUUAAGUGGGAAACGAUGUGGGAAGGCACAGACAGCCAGGAUGUUGGCUUAGAAGCAGCCAUCAUUUAAAGAAAGCGUAAUAGCUCACUGGUCGAGUCGGCCUGCGCGGAAGAUGUAACGGGGCUAAACCAUGCACCGAAGCUGCGGCAGCGACACUAUGUGUUGUUGGGUAGGGGAGCGUUCUGUAAGCCUGUGAAGGUGUGCUGUGAGGCAUGCUGGAGGUAUCAGAAGUGCGAAUGCUGACAUAAGUAACGAUAAAGCGGGUGAAAAGCCCGCUCGCCGGAAGACCAAGGGUUCCUGUCCAACGUUAAUCGGGGCAGGGUGAGUCGACCCCUAAGGCGAGGCCGAAAGGCGUAGUCGAUGGGAAACAGGUUAAUAUUCCUGUACUUGGUGUUACUGCGAAGGGGGGACGGAGAAGGCUAUGUUAGCCGGGCGACGGUUGUCCCGGUUUAAGCAUGUAGGCUGGUUGUCCAGGCAAAUCCGGAUAAUCAAGGCUGAGGUGUGAUGACGAGGCACUACGGUGCUGAAGUAACAAAUGCCCUGCUUCCAGGAAAAGCCUCUAAGCAUCAGGUAACAUCAAAUCGUACCCCAAACCGACACAGGUGGUCAGGUAGAGAAUACCAAGGCGCUUGAGAGAACUCGGGUGAAGGAACUAGGCAAAAUGGUGCCGUAACUUCGGGAGAAGGCACGCUGAUAUGUAGGUGAAGUCCCUCGCGGAUGGAGCUGAAAUCAGUCGAAGAUACCAGCUGGCUGCAACUGUUUAUUAAAAACACAGCACUGUGCAAACACGAAAGUGGACGUAUACGGUGUGACGCCUGCCCGGUGCCGGAAGGUUAAUUGAUGGGGUUAGCGGCAACGCGAAGCUCUUGAUCGAAGCCCCGGUAAACGGCGGCCGUAACUAUAACGGUCCUAAGGUAGCGAAAUUCCUUGUCGGGUAAGUUCCGACCUGCACGAAUGGCGUAAUGAUGGCCAGGCUGUCUCCACCCGAGACUCAGUGAAAUUGAACUCGCUGUGAAGAUGCAGUGUACCCGCGGCAAGACGGAAAGACCCCGUGAACCUUUACUAUAGCUUGACACUGAACAUUGAGCCUUGAUGUGUAGGAUAGGUGGGAGGCUUUGAAGCGUGGACGCCAGUCUGCGUGGAGCCAACCUUGAAAUACCACCCUUUAAUGGCUGGUGUUCUAACGUAGACCCGUAAUCCGGGUUGCGGACAGUGUCUGGUGGGUAGUUUGACUGGGGCGGUCUCCUCCUAAAGAGUAACGGAGGAGCACGAAGGUUGGCUAAUCCUGGUCGGACAUCAGGAGGUUAGUGCAAUGGCAUAAGCCAGCUUGACUGCGAGCGUGACGGCGCGAGCAGGUGCGAAAGCAGGUCAUAGUGAUCCGGUGGUUCUGAAUGGAAGGGCCAUCGCUCAACGGAUAAAAGGUACUCCGGGGAUAACAGGCUGAUACCGCCCAAGAGUUCAUAUCGACGGCGGUGUUUGGCACCUCGAUGUCGGCUCAUCACAUCCUGGGGCUGAAGUAGGUCCCAAGGGUAUGGCUGUUCGCCAUUUAAAGUGGUACGCGAGCUGGGUUUAGAACGUCGUGAGACAGUUCGGUCCCUAUCUGCCGUGGGCGUUGGAGAAUUGAUUGGGGCUGCUCCUAGUACGAGAGGACCGGAGUGGACGCACCACUGGUGUUCCGGUUGUGUCGCCAGACGCAUUGCCGGGUAGCUAAGUGCGGAAGAGAUAAGUGCUGAAAGCAUCUAAGCACGAAACUUGCCAAGAGAUGAGUUCUCCCAGAUUACAAAUCUGUAAGGGUUGUUUAAGACUAAGACGUAGAUAGGCAUGGUGUGUAAGCGGUGCGAGCCGUUGAGCUAACAGAUACUAAUUGCCCGAGAGGCUUAACUAU